Long non-coding RNA from Haliotis rubra (blacklip abalone), 798 nucleotides. RefSeq lists it as uncharacterized. Lineage: Eukaryota; Metazoa; Mollusca; Gastropoda; Lepetellida; Haliotidae. The transcript is spliced from 3 exons. The record is from RefSeq and is a predicted model, not a curated record.
CUUUCGCCACGUGAUGAAGUCAUGGGAUGGAAGCGCCUCGUACUGGUAAGUGGAAACAGAAAACUUCGUAGCAGGAUAUUACCUCAGAUCUCGUUGGUAAAAACAUGAUUGUGUAAAUUCACGAAGCUUCCUGUUGGAACAGACGCUGUGCAAAUCAAAGCUUUUCGUCGACAGAGACCAUAUACCGAGGGACGGGCCUCAGAGCUAAUUAGGAACUGAUUACUGCUGCGAGGCUUUGCGAGAUCUGCGAGAAGGCUCACAUCGGUGUUUUUACCUUCAUCUAUAUCAUCCACGGUAAGUUUAACUACUUUCAUUUGAUUUUGUAAGGGAUGACAACCAUACAUUGUAAGUAUCUGACAAAUGUAUGGAGCACAUAGUAUCUUCGAAAGGAAUAUACCAUGCACUGUGGUGAUCCCCUUUGUUGUGGACAAACAAAAUGGCUUCCUUCGGCGAAAUCGUGGAAAAAGACAUUUUUCCAGUACAUCUUGUCAAGUGAAACGUUAGCAAAGUCCUUAGUUACCGGGUUGUAUUGGACGAUCGGUUAUUUCUUUUUCACGCAGUGUACAUUAUUUCGUAGUUUUGUUUUGUAUUCUGUUAAAAUCGGCAAUGAAAGUGUAUCUGUAAUUGCAACCCUGUUAUUUCGUCAUACUGAAAACAUGUGAUUAUGCUAUAUCUUGUGGUACGCUGGUUUUAGUAAUAAAUCGCUCCAUGAGAAUGUCACUUAUAUUUUUGCAUUCAGCACUCUUUUCUGUAUGCAUUGAUAUGAAAAAUAAUAUGCUUUUAUCUUAUGUUUUUUUU